RNAcentral lists this ribosomal RNA (253 nucleotides) under uncultured bacterium. Its description in RNAcentral is "partial 16S ribosomal RNA". It matches the Rfam family "Bacterial small subunit ribosomal RNA", at positions 524 to 776 of the family's 1533-position model. The record is from RNAcentral.
GACGUAGGGUGCGAGCGUUGUCCGGAUUUAUUGGGCGUAAAGAGCUCGUAGGCGGCUCGUCGCGUCAGCUGUGAAAACCCGCAGCUUAACUGUGGGCUUGCAGCUGAUACGGGCGGGCUAGAGUUCGGUAGGGGAGACUGGAAUUCCUGGUGUAGCGGUGAAAUGCGCAGAUAUCAGGAGGAGCACCGGUGGCGAAGGCAGCUCUCUGGGACGGUACUGACGCUGAGACGCGAAAGCGUGGGGAGCGAACAGG